Molecule: long non-coding RNA, 3576 nt
Organism: Melozone crissalis (California towhee)
Lineage: Eukaryota; Metazoa; Chordata; Aves; Passeriformes; Passerellidae
Exons: 2
Source: RefSeq, a predicted model, not a curated record
AUGAGUUAGGAGUGUAGUCCAGUUCCUUGGAAAGGACUUUUCGCAAGUGCAUGAGGGUGACAGGACAAGGGACAAUGGCCAUAAGAAGAAGAAAUUUAGAUUAGAUAUUACGAUGAAACUCUUUACUAUAAGAGUUUCUAAGUAAGGCACUGGAACAUGUUGUCCAGAGAAGUGGGACGCCUCACCCUUGGAAAUGUUCAAGGCUAGGUUAUAAGGCACUCUGAGUAACCUGCUCUAAUGGAAGGUAUCCCUGCUUAUGGUGAUGGGAUCAGAAUUAGAUGAUCUUUAAGGUCCUUUUCAACCCUAACCAUUCUAUGAUCCUAUGAUUUGACAAAGGAAAAGUGUUUCUAAUAUGUAGCUCUGUGUCCUGUCCACUGUUCAUGAGUCAGAUUGGCCUCCAGUGGCUGAAAGUUCUUUAAAACAACAAAGUGCACUGAGGAAAAUACCUACAAUAUCUGGUUCAUGAAAGGUCCCAGGGCUCUCCAGAACUGCUGGGGUCCAAGGACAUUUUCUAGAUUGUCUGAGACAACAGCAUGUGUUCUAAGUUUAUGGAGAGGCUUUGUUCAGUUCAGUAUGAUUUGAAUCAUAGACCUCUAAGAUCAAGUCCAAACAUUAACCUACCACUGCCAAGGUCACCACUAAACCAUGUCCCUAAGUGCCAUAUCUAUGAAUGUCCCAUGAGAAUAUAUUUUUCCUGAGAGACAAGGGGAUGCCUAUUCUUUCUCUUUUCUCAAGAAAUUUCCCAUCCUUUUGACUUUUAUCAUUUUUAUUACCAUUCUCUGGACUUGUUCUAUUUCUACUUUCUUUUUUCAGGGAUGAGGUGACCAAAUUUGAAGACAGUAUUCAAAGUGAGGAUGUGCCACUGAUUUAUAUAAUAGCAUUAUAAUAUUUUCCAUAUUAUUCUCUAAAACUCUUUUCUUUGUACAAACCCUGUAAGAUUCUUUUAAUUCUUUGAACUACAAUGCCUUUUAACAUCUGUAGUUUACUCUGAUCAGAUUUUAACAAAGGAAUAAAAGGCUCCAUUUUUCACAUAGAAUUUUAUUUAUUGUUUGAACUUUAGAGGAGAAAUUGGUUAACUUACAAUUUAAAAUUCUUGGCAAUGUAGACCAUUGGGCAAGGAUUUCAUUAUCUAUAUGUAUUUCUAUACUUUCUGUAGAAGUGUGUGAGGCUGAAAGUUAGUGUAUAGGAUCUUCACUCAAUAGGCUUGUCUUUUGCUUUAUAGACAUGGACAAAACCUAAUUUGGAGCUACCAGCAUUCCCAAAAUGUCAGAAAGGGCAUUCACCUCUAUCUCCUUCCUGAUGAAACAUGCUGGAGCCCAACAUUUACAUGCUGUUUAUCCAAGACCAAGUGCACAUGCAGCACCUGAAUUUUGCCAUCUCCCACAUAUUGCACCUCAGACUUCCAUGCCAGGCCAGGGAAAGAUCCCUUUGCAAAUGAUGCACUUGAUGGCUGCAGAGGGUGAGGAUCUUGCUCUUGUGUCAUGGCUUGGCAUUAUGCCUUCAUCGGGAUAUUAGAAACGGCUCAGGGAAAAUGGUUACAGCUAUUCUAUCACCUGAGACACUUCUGCCAGCUCCCGCCUUUCCUUAGAAUUUCCAAUCCAAGUGGUGACCCUGCCUGACCCUACUUAUCUUGUAAAACCUGACAAGAUCACAGCCUGAAGCAGUAUAGCCACAGGCUCAAUACUGGCUACCAAAGUGUCUGUUUAGUAUUUUCAGAAACGUUGUUCUAAAGAUUAACAAUACCAGCUGCUAGAUAUAUGGACAGCACCAACACAGCUCUGACCCCUGGACAUUCAGCCCCACUUACACAGAAAUUUGUGUCUCUCAAGGGGCCAACACUGAGCUGCCACAAACUAGUGACUCUCUACCUGCAAGCAAGUGGAUUUUAAGUACAAUUUGAUUAUAUAUAUAAGACAUCGGGUAAAAAUAUUUGAAAACUAUGGUCUUGAGUUCAGAAUUCAUGGUUAGUUUUUUUAAUCAGUUGCAUUACUGCUUUAGUGAUAGAAAGGUCUCUGACAUUUCUGUGUAAUGUAUAGAACUUACUUUUAAUUUGGUGUAGAGAAUUUUCUUCACUCUUCCAUGACCAAAGCAGUUUUUCAUUAGAAGGUAUUUUUAGAUGAACUGUAAGUUUCCUCACCAGCAAAAAUUUUAGCUGCACCAAGUGAAAGCAAAUGCACAUUUCCUCAGAUAUCUCUAAGGAUAAACACAGGUUUAAAUAUACAAAAAAUUUAAGGGUUCAGUUGCAUAUGGGUUCAUGCACCGGAUGCAUUAAGUUCUUGCAAAGUUGUGUGGGCUUUUUUCCCCUCUUCUUUUUAGAACAGCAAAGACUUGGAACAGACAUCGAGGUCCUAUUGCUCCUGUCAGAAACUUCUGUUGACUGCAGCAUGAGUUGGAUGGGACCCAGAGAAACCAAAUACAGACAAGUAAUGAUGAGUUGGCCAUACAAGCAAGGAAAAUCACAGAUAACAGGUGCACACCAAUUAGCAAUGUAUCUUUUGGGUCGUCCAGUACAUCUUCCUGACACUAUGAAGUUGUUUCUUAUGGCAUAUUUUUGUGGUUUUUUGUGCCUAGAUUAAAUUUCCUAAGUGAUGCCAUAUCUCAAGGGAGAGGUUGUGUUGCCUAGAGCAUCCUGUUGUCAGGAGUUUUUUCCUAUUGUUAACGUCAUCAUAUUUCUUCUAUUUAUGUCCCUUUGCAAAUUUCCUUCUUUCCCUUUGAUCUCUUUUAACUAGUGUGAUGUUGUCUUUAGUUAGCAUUAAGGAAACUCAUAGAUAUUUAGCUCACCUAAUCUUUCCUAAUGUAGCAGUCCUUUCACCCCUCUUGUUAUUCUUCAUUUCUUCUCAUCACACAACUGCCUGUCAGUAUCUCUUUUAGUUAUGAGAUUUUAAAGAUGUGGUGCAUUUCUCUGAUCUAACAACAGAUCUGGUAUAGAGCUGAGCCCCCUUAGUGUCUUGUCACUGUGUCCAGGGGAAAGCUGCAAGCAUUCUGAACAGGCACACAGGAAUGUUUCGGCUACCUGCAGCCUCAUCCGAUGAUGCUUAAUGAACUCAUCUAGCUUGAUCUUCUGUGCACCAGCAGGGACUUCUUUAAAUGGGUAAACUGUAUAGAACGUUGUUUUCAAGUUUAACGUACUUGGAAUUAACCUUAUAAAAUAAUGGCAUCUCUAAAGACAGGUUAUAUAAAUAGCACAGACAUGUAUGUGUGCAUUUAUAUGUGCAUGUCUGUGUAUACAUGUGAAUAUAUAUAUGUAAGUGCACACAGAUGUAUAGAAAUGCUGAUGUUAUUCACCUUUUUGAAAUCUUUACAGCUAGUAUUAACAUGAAUGUGCUGUUAAAUUUGGCAGUGCUAUACAUUUUUGUUGGAGUUUACUUCUGUAACAUAAAAUCAUAAAGAUAAGCUGUGAAACUCGUGCAGCUGAUGACAUAAUUCUAGAAUCUCAUGAUGCUGAAUCUUAUAUUUCUAUGAGUGUGGGAUGGAUGUUCCUCGCUGAAAUAAUUAUCCUGCCUAUUGCAGUGUAUGUUUCCUUGUUUUAUGUGGGCACUGAGAUGUCCAAACUAUUAAACAUAUAUAGUACAAUGA